AACCUGGUUGAUCCUGCCAGUAGUCAUAUGCUUGUCUCAAAGACUAAGCCAUGCAUGUCUAAGUAUAAGUAUUAUACAGCGAAACUGCGAAUGGCUCAUUAAAACAGUUAUAAUUUAUUUGAUAAUCGAAUUUACAUGGAUAACCGUGGUAAUUCUAGAGCUAAUACAUGCUGGUAGGCCCGACUUUUUGGAAGGGCGGUAUUUAUUAGAUAACAAACCAAUAUUCCUCUGGUCUAUUGUGGUGAAUCAUAAUAACUGAUCGAAUCGCAAGGUUUUUAACCGCGAUAAGUCAUUCAAGUUUCUGCCCCAUCAGCUUUCGAUGGUAGUGUAUUGGACUACCAUGGCUUUUACGGGUAACGGAGGAUUAGGGUUCGAUUCCGGAGAGGGAGCCUGAGAAACGGCUACCACAUCUAAGGAAGGCAGCAGGCGCGUAAAUUACCCAAUCCUGACUCAGGGAGGUAGUGACAAGAAAUAACGGACCGAGGCCUUCGGGCUUCGGGAUUGCAAUGAGCCGAAUUUACACCCCUUAGCGAAGAUCGAUUGGAGGGCAAGUCUGGUGCCAGCAGCCGCGGUAAUCCAGCUCCAAUAGCGUAUAUUAAUGUUGUUGCAGUUAAAAAGCUCGUAGUUGGAUUUCUGGAAAGUGCAU
This 646-nucleotide ribosomal RNA is filed under the name uncultured marine eukaryote. RNAcentral describes it as "SSU rRNA". It matches the Rfam family "Eukaryotic small subunit ribosomal RNA", at positions 1 to 654 of the family's 1831-position model. The record is from RNAcentral.